Molecule: RNA transcript, 1012 nt
Organism: Carassius auratus (goldfish)
Lineage: Eukaryota; Metazoa; Chordata; Actinopteri; Cypriniformes; Cyprinidae
Gene name: phospholipid hydroperoxide glutathione peroxidase-like
Exons: 7
Source: RefSeq, a predicted model, not a curated record
UGUUUAUUUGGAGCCCUAUAUAUAUGAGUGGUUUUCAGUGUUCUGGAGAGUUCAGCACUUUAAGAGGAUCUGAUCUAAUACGCUGCCUGCCGUUUCAGUAGUUAGUGCUGAAAGGCAGUCAUGCGUUUCUUUGCGUCCGCUGUCGUUUUCUCCAUAGUGUUGCAGUCAAUGUCUGCACAGCUAGAAGACUGGCAGUCGGCCAAAUCCAUUUAUGAAUUCACUGCCACGGAUAUAGACGGCAAUGAAGUUUCCCUGGAAAAAUACAGGGGCAAAGUUGUCAUCAUCACUAAUGUUGCCUCAAAGUGAGGCAAAACCCCGGUAAACUACUCUCAGUUUGCAGAAAUGCACGCCAAGUAUUCUGAGAGAGGUUUACACAUCCUGGCCUUCCCAUCCAACCAGUUUGGAAAUCAGGAACCAGGAACAAAUUCCCAAAUCAAGGAAUUUGCCAAGUCCUACAAUGCGGAGUUUGAAAUGUUCAGUAAGAUUGAUGUGAAUGGCGACUCUGCACAUCCUCUGUGGAAGUGGCUGAAGGAACAACCAAAUGGAAGAGGAUUCUUUGGAAAUGGCAUCAAAUGGAAUUUCACCAAGUUCCUCAUUGACCGUGAAGGCCAGGUUGUGAUGAGAUACUCCCCGCUGCAGGAUCCAAGCGUGGUGGAGAAAGAUCUGUCCAAAUAUCUCUAGGGAACAUCAUCAGCUGACUGUGCAUUACCGCUUGCUGCCCAGCCGCUCCUCUUCAUUCUCCUCGACUGAUAGCUGGGUAUCAGUGAUGUCGUCUCAUGGACUUAUGAUGGUUUGUUUCAAAAACCCCUCUUGAGGAAAGAACAGACCUGAUGCAUUUGGCGUGCAAUCCCUCCUAAGAGCCUCAUCAGUGCCCAGCAUCACUCUGGAGAGAGACCCUCGCUCCUUCAACUGCCCCUAUAUGCUUUGAAAUAAAAUGAUGCACAUUUAUUUAGAACUAAACAUGGUAUCAUCACGUAACAUUUCUUAAUAAAUGCAAAGAGAUUCAUUUUAA